GGCGUGCCUAAUACAUGCAAGUCGAGCGGACAGAUGGGAGCUUGCUCCCUGAUGUUAGCGGCGGACGGGUGAGUAACACGUGGGUAACCUGCCUGUAAGACUGGGAUAACUCCGGGAAACCGGGGCUAAUACCGGAUGGUUGUUUGAACCGCAUGGUUCAAACAUAAAAGGUGGCUUCGGCUACCACUUACAGAUGGACCCGCGGCGCAUUAGCUAGUUGGUGAGGUAACGGCUCACCAAGGCAACGAUGCGUAGCCGACCUGAGAGGGUGAUCGGCCACACUGGGACUGAGACACGGCCCAGACUCCUACGGGAGGCAGCAGUAGGGAAUCUUCCGCAAUGGACGAAAGUCUGACGGAGCAACGCCGCGUGAGUGAUGAAGGUUUUCGGAUCGUAAAGCUCUGUUGUUAGGGAAGAACAAGUACCGUUCGAAUAGGGCGGUACCUUGACGGUACCUAACCAGAAAGCCACGGCUAACUACGUGCCAGCAGCCCGGUAUAAAUAAACACCCGUCGCUGGGUCCGUCGCGGUG
Molecule: ribosomal RNA, 532 nt
Filed under: Bacillus subtilis
Lineage: Bacteria; Bacillati; Bacillota; Bacilli; Caryophanales; Bacillaceae
Description: bacterial SSU rRNA
Rfam family: Bacterial small subunit ribosomal RNA
Source: RNAcentral